AACCUUUAGCAAAACAAAUAUUAAAGGCAACGCCUGCCCAGUGAACAAUUAAACGGCCGCGGUACCCUAACCGUGCAAAGGUAGCAUAAUCACCUGUCUAUUAACUGUAGACCUGUAUGAAUGGCAAAAUGAGGGUCUAACUGUCUCUUAUAAUAAAUCAAUUAAACUGAUCUACCAGUACAAAAGCUGGUAUAUUAACAUAAGACCAGAAGACCCUGUGAAGCUUAAAUCAAACUAUUAAAUCAUAUAGUAGCUACUUUCGGUUGGGGCGACCUUGGAAACAAAAAGAACUUCCAAAUACGUGGCCUAAUCCCACAAACUAAGGCUUACAAGCCAAUAACAGACCCAGUUAUAACUGAUCAAUGAACCAAGUUACUCCAGGGAUAACAGCGCUAUCUUCUUCAAGAGCCCAUAUCAAAAAGAAGGUUUACGACCUCGAUGUUGGAUCAGGACAUCCUAUUGGUGCAGCCGCUAUUAAAGGUUCGUUUGUUCAACGAUUAAUAGUCCU
RNAcentral lists this ribosomal RNA (508 nucleotides) under Parastenophis betsileanus. RNAcentral describes it as "partial 16S ribosomal RNA". It matches the Rfam family "Bacterial large subunit ribosomal RNA", at positions 1816 to 2597 of the family's 2925-position model. Lineage: Eukaryota; Metazoa; Chordata; Lepidosauria; Squamata. The record is from RNAcentral.